AACCAACAGGGAUUGCCUUAGUAGCGGCGAGUGAACAGGCAAGAGCUCAGAUUUGAAAGCCUUUCGGGGCAUUGUAUUCUGAAGCCUUGGUCUCGGGAACCGGUGCUUAAGUCUUCUGGAAAGGAGCGCCAUGGAGGGUGAUAGCCCCGUGAAGCACCAUACCCAUUUUGGGACCUUGGCAUGGAGUCGAGUUGUUUGGGAAUGCAGCUCAAAUGGGUGGUAUGCUCCAUCUAAAGCUAAAUAUCUGCGAGAGACCGAUAGCGAACAAGUACUGUGAAGGAAAGAUGAAAAGAACUUUGAAAAGAGAGUGAAAUAGUACGUGAAAUUGUUGAAAUGGAAGGGUAGGCCGCUAACCACGUAGAGUCGUGUCUAGGGGGAGGAUAAAAGCUGCAACCUACAUCCUCUUCGGAGUGGUGUCGGCGCGGUGCAUACUCCCACCCGGGCGCGAGGAUCGAAGACUCUACUAAAUGGUGGUCUACCACCCGUCUUGAAACACCGACCA
Molecule: ribosomal RNA, 502 nt
Filed under: Starmerella cf. 'powellii' UWO(PS)00-195.2
Lineage: Eukaryota; Fungi; Ascomycota; Dipodascomycetes; Dipodascales; Trichomonascaceae
Description: LSU rRNA
Rfam family: Eukaryotic large subunit ribosomal RNA
Source: RNAcentral